UGAACGCUAGCGGCAGGCCUAACACAUGCAAGUCGAACGGUAACAUGAGAGCUUGCUCUUGAUGACGAGUGGCGCACGGGUGCGUAACGCGUAUGCAACUUACCCCAAACUGGAGGAUAGCCUUUGGAAACGAAGAAUAAUACUCCAUAGUAUUUCGAGAAGGCAUCUUCUUGAUCUUAAAGCUUCGGUGGUUUGGGAUAGGCAUGCGUUCUAUUAGUUAGUUGGUGAGGUAACGGCUCACCAAGACCGCGAUAGAUAGGGGGCCUGAGAGGGUUGUCCCCCACACUGGUACUGAGACACGGACCAGACUCCUACGGGAGGCAGCAGUGAGGAAUAUUGCACAAUGGAGGAAACUCUGAUGCAGCCAUGCCGCGUGCAGGAUGAAUGCCCUAUGGGUUGUAAACUGCUUUUAUAUAGGAAGAAACCCAACUACGUGUAGUUGGCUGACGGUACUAUAAGAAUAAGGACCGGCUAACUCC
This 479-nucleotide ribosomal RNA is filed under the name uncultured bacterium. Its description in RNAcentral is "bacterial SSU rRNA". It matches the Rfam family "Bacterial small subunit ribosomal RNA", at positions 30 to 504 of the family's 1533-position model. The record is from RNAcentral.